GUCCAAACCCGGCGUCCCGACCGGAGCUCCUCUGAGAUGCAAAUUGCCCUCCGCCCUUCGGGCCCAGGGCGCCUAUUGUUCUUCCCCGCCGCAUUUCAGAGCCGACCCCUCACCCUGGCGGGGGGGAAGGGCGCUGCGGGGGAGAAAGGGAGUUUCUAAAUGGAAGCAGAGGGCUCUGAAACAGUCCCAGAGGCGACGCGAUUUGCCCGAAGUCUGCAACUUCCUGGAACUAGAAACCAAUCGGAAGACUUCCGCGUCGCGGCUCUUUCCGCCGUGAUCAGGUUACCCAGCGCCUCGGGACCUGCUUUUGAAAAGGAGAGGUCGACCUGGGAGAGCCGCUGAACGAGAUAACUCUUCGGAAUCGGUAACUGCUUAUGGCAGGCGGUGAGAGAGUGGGGGUGAUACAGUGUGGAGCCUGCGUCCCCCCGAAACAUAAUGUCAACACUUUCAAAUUGCCUUCCGAGAUCCCGAAUUUUAGGGGGUGCAUCUUCGGGGGGGGGGGGCCUGGGAGCUUACCUGUUUUGUUUACCCGCCCAAGUGCCUAAUGCAGAGUAGUUACCUAAUAAAUAUUUGCCGAGCGGAUGACUGCACAGCCGAAUGAGCCCCGUUCCAUCAUAGGGAUGUAGGAGGAUUUGCGGAGCCAAGCCCCACCUGGGAGGCACCUAAGUCCUUGCCAGUUUUUCUCAAUUAUGGCUCUGCAACGAAUAUCCUCUGUGCAUAAAUCCUUGACUGCAUCUCUUGAUUAUUUCCUCAGGAUAUUUUCCUCGAAGUGGGAUUACUGGGUUGAAGGGUAUGCACAUAUGUAAGGCUCUUGAUUCAGAGUCCCUCCAGCCGCGCCAGAAUGAGUGAGUCAGCUUCCCAGCAAGCUGGCCAAAACUCGGUAUCAUCGGCCUUCAUUUUUAUUUCUCUCUGUCUCUCUUUUUUCUUUGCCAUCUUGAUAAGAUAAAAAUGAUAUCCCAUUUUAUUUGCAUUUCUUUGUGGACUAAUUAGGUGGAGAUUGGACUAACUUUAAAGAAAUAUUCUUAAGGAGCACCGAGAAAUCCUGUGUGGAAAAGGAGACCGUGACACCAGGCACAUUCUGCCCAGUGAGGUGAAACCAAAGGGCUCCAAUGGUCUGGUGUGAUUUGACCAGAAGAUGUAAACACAUUUGAGCCUUGCUCCAGAGGCUUCCCCUGAGCAAGGGAGGGGAAGCUGUGACUUACUAGCUUCCCUAUGUUUGUUAUUUUUUGUUAUUUUCAUUUCCUGAUGAGGAGUAAAUGUUUCAUAAAGCAAAUGAAAACCCUGUGUAAUUAUCUUUAAGGACAGCAAGAAAAAGUAGAAGUGGGAAAACUAGUUCACUUUAACGUCAUGGGAAAGGGGGGAGGGGGGAGGGGUGAAGUUUGAAGCCUGUUUCCAGGCGGUGGGAGGGAAGUCCCUGAAGAUGGGGCUGGCAGUGGGGCGGGGAGGGAGUGAGCAAGAGGCUUCCCAGGGCUCUGGAGACUUCCUUCUGGAAAGGCUGCUAUGAGUUUGUAGCGCUUAUGAGGCCUGUGGUCCCUGGGGACCUGGAAGGGGCGUUUAAUGGACUUUUGAGGAUCAAAGUCAGAUUGCCAGGGACAAAGGAAGGUUGUGAGGAAAUGGAGGCCACUGCAUCUCCGGCCGUGCUCCGGGAAUGGGGAGAAGGUACCUGUGGCAUUCUCCCCGGACAACGGGAGAUGGUGGUCCCUAGAGCUUUUGUGGGCUGUGAAACGGUGGGCGCUUCUCCCCCAGUCAGAGCCGCUCCCCAGCUCUUACGAUAUCGGCUAGGUUCUUUUAUAAACCACACCCGAGAGGAUAACUGAUUUGCCAAUGUUUACAGGCAGUUUUAUUUACUAAUCUAGCUCAUUUACUGUCAACUAAAUUUAUAGUCCUAAUUACAGUCCUCAGCAUUUUCCUGAUAAUAAACAUACAGGAUGUGUUUUA
Molecule: long non-coding RNA, 1938 nt
Organism: Prionailurus viverrinus (fishing cat)
Lineage: Eukaryota; Metazoa; Chordata; Mammalia; Carnivora; Felidae
Exons: 2
Source: RefSeq, a predicted model, not a curated record